Molecule: ribosomal RNA, 502 nt
Filed under: uncultured Glomeromycotina
Lineage: Eukaryota; Fungi; Glomeromycota
Description: partial small subunit ribosomal RNA
Rfam family: Eukaryotic small subunit ribosomal RNA
Source: RNAcentral
CCAAUAGCGUAUAUUAAAGUUGUUGCAGUUAAAAAGCUCGUAGUUGAAUUUCGGGAUUUGUCAGUUGGUCGGGCUUCACUGUCCGUAUUGACUUGAUGGAUUCUUACCUUCUGAAUAACCAGCAUGCUAUUAAGUUAGUGCGUUGGGGAAGCAGAUCUAUUACCUUGAAAAAAUUAGAGUGCUUAAAGCGAGCUAGUGCUUGAAUAGAUUAGCAUGGAAUAAUAAAAUAGGACGGCAUGGUUCUAUUUUGUUGGUUUCCAGGAUCACCGUAAUGAUUAAUAGGGAUAGUUGGGGGCAUUAGUAUUCAAUUGUCAGAGGUGAAAUUCUUGGAUUUAUUGAAGACUAACUUCUGCGAAAGCAUUUGCCAAGGAUGUUUUCAUUAAUCAAGAACGAAAGUUAGGGGAUCGAAGACGAUCAGAUACCGUCGUAGUCUUAACCAUAAACUAUGCCGACUAGGAAUCGGACGAUGUUAAUUUUAUAAUGACUCGUUCGGCACCUUACG